Lycium barbarum (goji berry) is the source of this 1569-nucleotide long non-coding RNA. RefSeq lists it as uncharacterized. NCBI's taxonomy places the organism in Eukaryota, Viridiplantae, Streptophyta, Magnoliopsida, Solanales, Solanaceae. The transcript is spliced from 6 exons. The record is from RefSeq and is a predicted model, not a curated record.
AAGAUGACGUGGAAGGAGGAGGGUUAAAAUUGGAUUUGGAUAAUGGGGUGCCAUGGCACAUGACAUUUUCUUCAUUAAAAAUAUUAACUUUUGUCAACUUUAACCAAAGUAUAAUUGUAGGGGUAUAUUUGGACCCAAAGUAUAACGACGGGUAUAUUUGACCCUUUUUCGAUAGUACAGGGGUAUAUUUGGCCCUUUUCUGUUUAAAAAUUAGUGUUGCUCUUAUCAUAUGAAAGUUGAGUUUUUUCUUUUUUGAUGAUUUGUUUUUUAUUUGGAUUAUUCAUUUCCCAUGUGGGUUUUUAUGUUUAUCAAAGUAACUGGCUUUGUCCCAGUUCAUUUUAUCAUUUUGUUGAAAGAUGGUUAAUUGGUGCUUAAUCAAUUCUUUUCUCUUUGUAGUAAUUCUAUGCAAGAAUGCAGUAGAAAUAAUAAACCCGUGUUAAUUAUCCAUUUUACUUCUUUCUGUUAGUUUAGGUUUAGCAGCAGCUGGACAAGGAUGAUUCUUCAAAUUGAUGUUGUUUUUCACUUGUAAUUCUUUAUAUUCCUCAGAUCAACACUCGCGAUGUUGUUCAAGUAGUAUAAAGUUUAUGCAGAUUGUUGGAAUCCUCCUUUAUGGCCAGAAUCCAUUGUCGUGGUCUACCAGGGUGCAAAUUGCUCUUGAUGCAGCUAAAGGAAUCGAAUACAUCCAUGAGCAUACUGUUCCUUUAUAUAUCCACCGCAAUAAAAUCCGCUAAUAUUUUGAUUGACAAAGGCUUUCAUGCAAAGGUAGCCGACUUUGGACUUACAAAGCUAACUGAAGUUGGAAGUACCUCUUUUCAUACACGACUUGUGGGUACUUUUGGUUACAUGCCUCCAGAUUCAUAUGAACCAGAAAGUUUUCAUACUCUCUAUUAAGAUGGUCACUUUAUGAGCUAAUAUCUGCUAAAGAAGCUAUUGUCAAGACACAUGAAGUUAUAACAGAGUCAAAGGGACUUCUUGCAUUGUUUGAGGAUGUUCUUCAGCAGAGUGGUGCUAGGGAAGGGUUAUGCAAAGUGGUUGAUCCCAAUCUCGGAGAUGACUAUCCGCUAUGUUCAGUCUGCAAGGUAGCUCAGCUUGCCUAGGCUUGCACACAUGAAAAUCCUCAGUUGAGACCUAGCAUGAGGUCCAUUGUUGUAGCUUUAAUGACUCUAUCAUCCUCAACUGAAGAUUGGGAUAUUGGCUCCUUUUAUGAAAACCAAGGCCUCGUCCAUCUCAUGUCAGGAAGAUAGUAAUAUCAGCUAGUGUUCAUUCAAGCAUUCUCAAAGGCCUAAGAACCUUUUGUGCUUGGAAGUAUUAUCUGUUUAUAAUACUCAUUAGUAUUUUACCUUCUUUUAAAACUUUUUGUUCAUCUUACUUUUCUGUAAUUCUUUUUCGUUGUUUUGUAAAGGUUAUGUUUUUCAAGCAGAGGAGUUUGGAAAUUAGAACUUGAUCACAUUUGUACAACCUUUUUUAUUAACAUGAUCAUAUAGAAGAAACAAGAAGUAAGCCCAAAUGAUUGUAUCAUUAUACCCCUCUGGCAAGCAUCAAAUAAAAUAUGAUGGUUCCUAGUCCUAA